CAAUAAGCGGAGGAAAAGAAACUAACAAGGAUUCCCCUAGUAACUGCGAGUGAAGCGGGAAAAGCUCAAAUUUAAAAUCUGUCAGUCUUUGGCUGUCCGAGUUGUAAUCUAGAGAAGUGUUAUCCGCGCUGGACCGUGUACAAGUCUCCUGGAAUGGAGCGUCAUAGAGGGUGAGAAUCCCGUCUUUGACACGGACUGCCAGGGCUUUGUGAUGCGCUCUCAAAGAGUCGAGUUGUUUGGGAAUGCAGCUCAAAAUGGGUGGUAAAUUCCAUCUAAAGCUAAAUAUUGGCGAGAGACCGAUAGCGAACAAGUACCGUGAGGGAAAGAUGAAAAGAACUUUGGAAAGAGAGUUAAACAGUACGUGAAAUUGCUGAAAGGGAAACGCUUGAAGUCAGUCGCGUUGUCCAGGGAUCAACCUUGCUUUUGCUUGGUGUACUUUCUGGUUGACGGGUCAGCAUCAAUUUUGACUAUUGGAAAAAGAUCAGGGGAAUGUGGCAUCUUUGGAUGUGUUAUAGCCCUUGGUUGCAUACAAUGGUUGGGAUUGAGGAACUCAGCACGCCGCAAGGCCGGGUUUUUAACCACGUACGUGCUUAGGAUGCUGGCAUAAUGGCUUUAAUCGACCCGUCUUGAAACACGGACCAAGGAGUCUAACAUGCCUGCGAGUGUUUGGGUGGAAAACCCGAGCGCGUAAUGAAAGUGAAAGUUGAGAUCCUUGUCAUGGGGAGCAUCGACGCCCGGACCAGACCUUUUGUGACGGUUCCGCGGUAGAGCAUGUAUGUUGGGACCCGAAAGAUGGUGAACUAUGCCUGAAUAGGGUGAAGCCAGAGGAAACUCUGGUGGAGGCUCGUAGCGAUUCUGACGUGCAAAUCGAUCGUCAAAUUUGGGUAUAGGGGCGAAAGACUAAUCGAACCAUCUAGUAGCUGGUCU
This 927-nucleotide ribosomal RNA is filed under the name Cortinarius sp. PDD 103671. Its description in RNAcentral is "eukaryotic LSU rRNA". It matches the Rfam family "Eukaryotic large subunit ribosomal RNA", at positions 44 to 957 of the family's 3401-position model. Lineage: Eukaryota; Fungi; Basidiomycota; Agaricomycetes; Agaricales; Cortinariaceae. The record is from RNAcentral.